Molecule: long non-coding RNA, 183 nt
Organism: Triticum urartu
Lineage: Eukaryota; Viridiplantae; Streptophyta; Magnoliopsida; Poales; Poaceae
Source: RefSeq, a predicted model, not a curated record
CAAACAUCCGGAAGUUCAAAGAGAAGAUGGUGUCAAAAAACCUUGUAUCGGAUGAUAAGCAAUCAGACAAUCAGAUGGAGGAAUUGUGUGCUAACAUCAAGGGUUUGGGUGUCCAUCAGAUUCUUGCGAGGACAGCAACAGCGGCCAGCGUUUGUAUUUGCAGAGUUCAUGAAUGCCGCAGGU